GAUGAACGCUGGCGGCGUGCCUAAUACAUGCAAGUCGAGCGAACGGACGAGAAGCUUGCUUCUCUGAUGUUAGCGGCGGACGGGUGAGUAACACGUGGAUAACCUACCUAUAAGACUGGGAUAACUUCGGGAAACCGGAGCUAAUACCGGAUAAUAUUUUGAACCGCAUGGUUCAAAAGUGAAAGACGGUCUUGCUGUCACUUAUAGAUGGAUCCGCGCUGCAUUAGCUAGUUGGUAAGGUAACGGCUUACCAAGGCAACGAUGCAUAGCCGACCUGAGAGGGUGAUCGGCCACACGGGAACUGAGACACGGUCCAGACUCCUACGGGAGGCAGCAGUAGGGAAUCUUCCGCAAUGGGCGAAAGCCUGACGGAGCAACGCCGCGUGAGUGAUGAAGGUCUUCGGAUCGUAAAACUCUGUUAUUAGGGAAGAACAUAUGUGUAAGUAACUGUGCACAUCUUGACGGUACCUAAUCAGAAAACCACGGCUAACUACGU
This 496-nucleotide ribosomal RNA is filed under the name uncultured bacterium. Its description in RNAcentral is "partial 16S ribosomal RNA". It matches the Rfam family "Bacterial small subunit ribosomal RNA", at positions 28 to 506 of the family's 1533-position model. The record is from RNAcentral.